AGUGAACGCUGGCGGUAGGCCUAAUACAUGCAAGUCGAACGGCCGCACAGUAAGCGUUCGCCCCUACGGGUGGCGAGUGGCGGAUGGGUGAGGCAUACAUAGGCAUCUACUUUUUCGUGGGGGACAACGUAGGGACACUUACGCUAAUACCGCAUACGAUCUACCGGUGGAAGCAGUGGUUCUUCGGACCUUUCGCGAUUGAAUGAGCCGGUGCCGUAUCAGCUAGUUGGCGAGGUAAAGGCCCACCAAGGCGACGAUCCGUAGCUGGUCUGAGAGGAUGAUCAGCCACACUGGAACUGAGACACGGUCCAGACUCCUACGGGAGGCAGCAGUGGGGAAUAUUCGGCAAUGGGCGCAAGCCUGACCCAGCCAUGCCGCGUGAGUGAUGAAGGCCUUCGGGUUGUAAAGCCCUGUUGUUAGGAAAGAAAAGCAGCAUGAGAAAACCCCGCUGUUCUGACGGUACCCAAAGAAAAAGCACCGGCUAACUUCGUG
Molecule: ribosomal RNA, 492 nt
Filed under: uncultured bacterium
Lineage: Bacteria
Description: partial 16S ribosomal RNA
Rfam family: Bacterial small subunit ribosomal RNA
Source: RNAcentral